RNAcentral lists this transfer RNA (67 nucleotides) under pig gut metagenome. It matches the Rfam family "tRNA". Rfam says of the family: Transfer RNA (tRNA) molecules are approximately 80 nucleotides in length. Their secondary structure includes four short double-helical elements and three loops (D, anti-codon, and T loops). Further hydrogen bonds mediate the characteristic L-shaped molecular structure. tRNAs have two regions of fundamental functional importance: the anti-codon, which is responsible for specific mRNA codon recognition, and the 3' end, to which the tRNAs corresponding amino acid is attached (by aminoacyl-tRNA synthetases). tRNAs cope with the degeneracy of the genetic code in two manners: having more than one tRNA (with a specific anti-codon) for a particular amino acid; and 'wobble' base-pairing, i.e. permitting non-standard base-pairing at the 3rd anti-codon position. The record is from RNAcentral.
UGAUAUAGCUCAGUGGUAGAGCACUUCCUUGGUAAGGAAGAGGUCCCGGGUUCAAGUCCCGGUAUCA